RNAcentral lists this ribosomal RNA (484 nucleotides) under uncultured bacterium. RNAcentral describes it as "partial 16S ribosomal RNA". It matches the Rfam family "Bacterial small subunit ribosomal RNA", at positions 30 to 507 of the family's 1533-position model. The record is from RNAcentral.
AUUGAACGCUGGCGGCAGGCCUAACACAUGCAAGUCGAGCGGAUGGAGGGAGCUUGCUCCUGGAUUCAGCGGCGGACGGGUGAGUAAUGCCUAGGAAUCUGCCUGGUAGUGGGGGAUAACGUCCGGAAACGGGCGCUAAUACCGCAUACGUCCUGAGGGAGAAAGUGGGGGAUCUUCGGACCUCACGCUAUCAGAUGAGCCUAGGUCGGAUUAGCUAGUUGGUGGGGUAAAGGCCUACCAAGGCGACGAUCCGUAACUGGUCUGAGAGGAUGAUCAGUCACACGGGAACUGAGACACGGUCCAGACUCCUACGGGAGGCAGCAGUGGGGAAUAUUGGACAAUGGGCGAAAGCCUGAUCCAGCCAUGCCGCGUGUGUGAAGAAGGUCUUCGGAUUGUAAAGCACUUUAAGUUGGGAGGAAGGGCAGUAAGUUAAUACCUUGCUGUUUUGACGUUACCAACAGAAUAAGCACCGGCUAACUUCGUG